Long non-coding RNA from Argiope bruennichi, 388 nucleotides. RefSeq lists it as uncharacterized. NCBI's taxonomy places the organism in Eukaryota, Metazoa, Arthropoda, Arachnida, Araneae, Araneidae. The transcript has 3 exons. The record is from RefSeq and is a predicted model, not a curated record.
AAAAUGAAAUCAUUGAAUAUUAGGCGCAACAUAAAAUCCAUGGAUGAUAUCAACGAAUGGGUAAAACAAUUUAGAAAAUCAACAAAUGCUAAAUGGAACAGUAGUUCUUCAGGAAAACGAUUUGUUUACUGGAAAAAAUUUGUAUACCAACAUUCAAUAAAGUGCUAUUUACCAAGAAUAAGAAAGGAAUUUUUAAAAAAAAUGCUAAAUGCCUUCCCUCUGUUAUGGUGAAGAGAAAACUAAAAACUACACACAUGAGAACGGAAGAUGAUUUUCUAAGAUUUUGAAAAAGGCUGUAAUGUAUCUAGCAAAAAUAUCAUCUGAAGGACAGUGCGAAAAAAUGCUGACAACUCUUUGCAGUAAUGUUCCUCUAAAGUGAAAGGCUGGU